This 484-nucleotide ribosomal RNA is filed under the name uncultured bacterium. RNAcentral's name for it is "partial 16S ribosomal RNA". It matches the Rfam family "Bacterial small subunit ribosomal RNA", at positions 30 to 507 of the family's 1533-position model. The record is from RNAcentral.
AUUGAACGCUGGCGGCAGGCCUAACACAUGCAAGUCGAGCGGAUGAAGGGAGCUUGCUCCUGGAUUCAGCGGCGGACGGGUGAGUAAUGCCUAGGAAUCUGCCUGGUAGUGGGGGAUAACGUCCGGAAACGGGCGCUAAUACCGCAUACGUCCUGAGGGAGAAAGUGGGGGAUCUUCGGACCUCACGCUAUCAGGUGAGCCUAGGUCGGAUUAGCUAGUUGGUGGGGUAAAGGCCUACCAAGGCGACGAUCCGUAACUGGUCUGAGAGGAUGAUCAGUCACACUGGAACUGAGACACGGUCCAGACUCCUAUGGGAGGCAGCAGUGGGGAAUAUUGGACAAUGGGCGAAAGCCUGAUCCAGCCAUGCCGCGUGUGUGAAGAAGGUCUUCGGAUUGUAAAGCACUUUAAGUUGGGAGGAAGGGCAGUAAGUUAAUACCUUGCUGUUUUGACGUUACCAACAGAAUAAGCACCGGCUAACUUCGUG